UACGUAGGAUCCAAGCGUUGUCCGGAAUUACUGGGCGUAAAGGGUGCGUAGGCGGAAUUGUGCGUCAGAGGUGAAAUCCAACGGCUUAACCGUUGAACUGCCUUUGAUACGGCAAUUCUUGAGUGCGAGAGAGGCGAGUAGAAUUCCAGGUGUAGCGGUGAAAUGCGUAGAUAUCUGGAGGAAUACCAGUGGUGAAGACGGCUCGCUGGCUCGUAACUGACGCUGAGGCACGAAAGCGUGGGGAUCAAAC
RNAcentral lists this ribosomal RNA (250 nucleotides) under uncultured bacterium. RNAcentral describes it as "partial 16S ribosomal RNA". It matches the Rfam family "Bacterial small subunit ribosomal RNA", at positions 524 to 773 of the family's 1533-position model. The record is from RNAcentral.